Molecule: ribosomal RNA, 468 nt
Filed under: uncultured bacterium
Lineage: Bacteria
Description: partial 16S ribosomal RNA
Rfam family: Bacterial small subunit ribosomal RNA
Source: RNAcentral
GACGAACGCUGGCGGCGUGCUUAACACAUGCAAGUCGAACGGAAAGGCCCUGCUUUUGUGGGGUGCUCGAGUGGCGAACGGGUGAGUAACACGUGAGUAACCUGCCCUUGACUUUGGGAUAACUUCAGGAAACUGGGGCUAAUACCGGAUAGGAGCUCCUGCUGCAUGUUGGGGGUUGGAAAGUUUCGGCGGUUGGGGAUGGACUCGCGGCUUAUCAGCUUGUUGGUGGGGUAGUGGCUUACCAAGGCUUUGACGGGUAGCCGGCCUGAGAGGGUGACCGGCCACAUUGCGACUGAGAUACGGCCCAGACUCCUACGGGAGGCAGAAGUGGGGAAUAUUGCACAAUGGGCGGAAGCCUGAUGCAGCAACGCCGCGUGCGGGAUGACGGCCUUCGGGUUGUAAACCGCUUUCGCCUGUGACGAAGCGUGAGUGACGGUAAUGUGUAAAGAAGCACCGGCUAACUACGUG